RNAcentral lists this non-coding RNA (26 nucleotides) under Cricetulus griseus (Chinese hamster). Lineage: Eukaryota; Metazoa; Chordata; Mammalia; Rodentia; Cricetidae. The record is from RNAcentral.
UUGUUAGGGAUGGAAGGAAAGAAAGG